GAUGAACGCUGGCGGCGUGCCUAAUACAUGCAAGUCGAGCGGACGGACGAGAAGCUUGCUUCUCUGAUGUUAGCGGCGGACGGGUGAGUAACACGUGGAUAACCUACCUAUAAGACUGGGAUAACUUCGGGAAACCGGAGCUAAUACCGGAUGAUAUUUUGAACCGCAUGGUUCAAAAGUGAAAGACGGUCUUGCUGUCACUUAUAGAUGGAUCCGCGCUGCAUUAGCUAGUUGGUAAGGUAACGGCUUACCAAGGCAACGAUGCAUAGCCGACCUGAGAGGGUGAUCGGCCACACUGGAACUGAGACACGGUCCAGACUCCUACGGGAGGCAGCAGUAGGGAAUCUUCCGCAAUGGGCGAAAGCCUGACGGAGCAACGCCGCGUGAGUGAUGAAGGUCUUCGGAUCGUAAAACUCUGUUAUUAGGGAAGAACAUAUGUGUAAGUAACUGUGCACAUCUUGACGGUACCUAAUCAGAAAGCCACGGCUAACUACGUGC
RNAcentral lists this ribosomal RNA (498 nucleotides) under uncultured bacterium. RNAcentral describes it as "partial 16S ribosomal RNA". It matches the Rfam family "Bacterial small subunit ribosomal RNA", at positions 28 to 508 of the family's 1533-position model. The record is from RNAcentral.